AAUUGGAAUGAGUACACCUUAAAUCGUUUAACGAGUAUCAAUUGGAGGGCAAGUCUGGUGCCAGCAGCCGCGGUAAUUCCAGCUCCAAUAGCGUAUAUUAAAGUUGCUGCAGUUAAAAAGCUCGUAGUUGGAUCUGGGGCUUGAGGUCGCUGUCUAUCGUUUCGGCGAUGACGGUGAUGCUCAGCUCUGCUUGCCGGUGACUGUUGCGGUGUUCUUCACUGAGCGCUGUAGCAGCACGGCACGUUUACUUUGAAAAAAUUAGAGUGCUCAAAGCGUGCUUGUCGCUUGAAUAAUGUUGCAUGGAAUAAUGGAAUAGGACCUCGGUUCUAUUUUGUUGGUUUUCGGAGCUUGAGGUAAUGAUUAAGAGGGACGAACGGGGGCAUUCGUAUUGCGGUGUUAGAGGUGAAAUUCUUGGAUCGCCGUAAGACGGACUACUGCGAAAGCAUUUGCCAAGAACGCUUUCAUUAAUUAAGAACGAAAGUCAGAGGUUCGAAGACGAUCAGACACCGUCCUAGUUCUGACCAUAAACGAUGCCGACCAGCGAUCCGUAGUGGUUCUUUAUGGACCCUACGGGCAGCCUCCGGGAAACCAAAGUAUUUGGGUUCCGGGGGAAGUAUGGUUGCAAAGCUGAAACUUAAAGGAAUUGACGGAAGGGCACACCAGGAGUGGAGCCUGCGGCUUAAUUUGACCCAACACGGGAAAACUCACCCGGUCCGGACACCGUAAGGAUUGACAGACUGAUAGCUCUUUCUUGAUUCGGUGGAUGGUGGUGCAUGGCCGUUCUUAGUUGGUGGAGUGAUUUGUCUGGUUAAUUCCGAUAACGAACGAGACUCUAGCCUGCUAAAUAGUGUUGCUAUUGUUAUAUGGUUGACACUUCUUAGAGGGACAAGUGGUAUUUAGCCACGCGAAAUUGAGCAAUAACAGGUCUGUGAUGCCCUUAGAUGUCCGGGGCCGCACGCGCGCUACACUGGAGAAGUCAGCGUGUGUUAUCCAAGACCGAAAGGACUGGGUAAUCCGUUGAACCUUCUUCGUGCUUGGGACUGUGGCUUGGAACUAUUCCACAUGAACGAGGAAUUCCUAGUAAUUGCAAGUCAUAAGCUUGCGUUGAUUACGUCCCUGCCCAUUGUACACACCGCCCGUCGCUACUACCGAUUGAAUGGUUUAGCAAGGUCCUCGGAUCGUGGCCGUAGGGGCACGCAAGUGUUUCUGCGGUUUGCGAGAAGACGACCAAACUUGAUCAUUUAGA
This 1246-nucleotide ribosomal RNA is filed under the name metagenome. RNAcentral's name for it is "SSU rRNA". It matches the Rfam family "Eukaryotic small subunit ribosomal RNA", at positions 507 to 1777 of the family's 1831-position model. The record is from RNAcentral.